GACGAACGCUGGCGGCGUGCCUAAUACAUGCAAGUAGAACGCUGAAGGAGGAGCUUGCUUCUCUGGAUGAGUUGCGAACGGGUGAGUAACGCGUAGGUAACCUGCCUGGUAGCGGGGGAUAACUAUUGGAAACGAUAGCUAAUACCGCAUAAGAGUAGAUGUCGCAUGACAUUUGCUUAAAAGGUGCAAUUGCAUCACUACCAGAUGGACCUGCGUUGUAUUAGCUAGUUGGUGAGGUAACGGCUCACCAAGGCAACGAUACAUAGCCGACCUGAGAGGGUGAUCGGCCACACUGGGACGGAGACACGGCCCAGACUGCUACGGGAGGCAGCAGUAGGGAAUCUUCGGCAAUGGACGGAAGUCUGACCGAGCAACGCCGCGUGAGUGAAGAAGGUUUUCGGAUCGUAAAGCUCUGUUGUAAGAGAAGAACGAGUGUGAGAGUGGAAAGUUCACACUGUGACGGUAUCUUACCAGAAAGGGACGGCUAACUACGUG
This 495-nucleotide ribosomal RNA is filed under the name uncultured bacterium. Its description in RNAcentral is "partial 16S ribosomal RNA". It matches the Rfam family "Bacterial small subunit ribosomal RNA", at positions 28 to 507 of the family's 1533-position model. The record is from RNAcentral.